This 75-nucleotide transfer RNA is filed under the name Pseudomonadota bacterium. Its description in RNAcentral is "tRNA-Asn". It matches the Rfam family "tRNA". Rfam says of the family: Transfer RNA (tRNA) molecules are approximately 80 nucleotides in length. Their secondary structure includes four short double-helical elements and three loops (D, anti-codon, and T loops). RNAcentral also lists the same sequence under 2 other names. The record is from RNAcentral. Lineage: Bacteria; Pseudomonadati; Pseudomonadota.
UCCCCGGUAGCUCAACGGUAGAGCAGCGCGCUGUUAACGCGUUGGUUGCAGGUUCGAAUCCUGCCCGGGGAGCCA